This 118-nucleotide ribosomal RNA is filed under the name Bacillus sp. M 2-6. The record is from RNAcentral. Lineage: Bacteria; Bacillati; Bacillota; Bacilli; Caryophanales; Bacillaceae.
GUCUGGUGAUGAUGGCGAAGAGGUCACACCCGUUCCCAUACCGAACACGGAAGUUAAGCUCUUCAGCGCCGAUGGUAGUUGGGGGUUUCCCCCUGUGAGAGUAGGACAUCGCCAGGCU